RNAcentral lists this small nuclear RNA (155 nucleotides) under Fukomys damarensis (Damara mole-rat). Its description in RNAcentral is "U2 spliceosomal RNA". It matches the Rfam family "U2 spliceosomal RNA". From Rfam's summary of the family: U2 is a small nuclear RNA (snRNA) component of the spliceosome (involved in pre-mRNA splicing). Complementary binding between U2 snRNA (in an area lying towards the 5' end but 3' to hairpin I) and the branchpoint sequence (BPS) of the intron results the bulging out of an unpaired adenosine, on the BPS, which initiates a nucleophilic attack at the intronic 5' splice site, thus starting the first of two transesterification reactions that mediate splicing. The record is from Rfam by way of RNAcentral. Lineage: Eukaryota; Metazoa; Chordata; Mammalia; Rodentia; Bathyergidae.
AUUGCUUCUCAGCCUUCUGGCUAAGAUCAAGUGUAGUGACAGACACAAAACAGAUUCCUCUAUCUGUGUGGGAAUAGUAGGCUCCCAGGACUUCCUGCACAUACACACACACUGUAUGAAAUAUGUUAUAUAGUACUAUGUUAUGCAGAUGUUAU